Epinephelus fuscoguttatus (brown-marbled grouper) is the source of this 1963-nucleotide long non-coding RNA. RefSeq lists it as uncharacterized. The record is from RefSeq and is a predicted model, not a curated record. The transcript has 2 exons. NCBI's taxonomy places the organism in Eukaryota, Metazoa, Chordata, Actinopteri, Perciformes, Serranidae.
GGGUGCUGGACACAAAUCCCAGGACCGCACUGCCAACGAAGUGCUGCGAAGCGCAGCGCACCAAAAUUCUCGUGUGAGCCCGUCCACAUCAGACGCGCAUUUCUCCACGCCGAUCGACAAGCGCUUCUGCUCCCAGCUGUUGACUCCGUCACAUUUGGGGCUGUUUUUCCAUCAUGGUUUUCCUCUAGGUGACCCAGACAGACUGGACCAGUGGACACUCAACACGAGGAGACAGAACUGGACUCCAAACAAGACUUCCCAUCUGUGCAGUGAACACUUUGAGAGUCAUCACUUCAGCACUGACUCCAGGAUAAAGACACCUUUUUUUCAUACAGUACCUCACAAAGAGUCAAGAAACUUCUUAGUUUGAAAUGAUGAAUUAUUGUCCAUAAUACAUUUAAAUGCAUUACAUAAAUUACUAAUUGUCAUACAUUACUAAGUACUCGAUUAGGGCACAGCUUGCUCCGUACUAUUCCUGAUAAGGUGAAAUUACUGACACACCAGUGCAGUUUAGUGUUCCCCUGAUGCAAAAGGCCAAAUGAAGAUUUUAUUAAUCAAGGAACAUGACAUAUAUUUACCAAUUUUAACAUUUUAGUGCCUUUUAUGCAAAGACCCUUUAUCAAAGUGAGAACUACUACCUUUUUCCCCACACACAGUCUGUGAAGAACCAAUGGAAAAAAUAUUCUCAUAAUGAGACAGCUGAACAUAGCAUGAUUCCACAGUGGCAGUGAGCUUUGAGAACAGUUCAGUUUCCUUUUGAUAGCAACAAUUAUUUUAAUGUGGAUGAACUGCAUAUUGUACAUUCAUACUCCAGUUGUCUUGAUAGUACAGUUAAAUUUAAAAUCACAUUCAAAUAUAAAGUCGAAUAUCUACAGAACUUAAACACAAAACUAUUUUAUGAAUGACAGCCACUUACUCAGCAAUAAGAUCAUUUUGGUGGUGAGUGGGCUUUUAACCAAGACAGGCUGUAGUCAAUGUUUUCUACCUGUGUUUUUAACCUAUUAUCUUUCUCUCAUGUAGGACACUUGUGGAAAGUUACAACGCCUCGGCCAAUGUGAUAUUUACUCCACAGUAAAGAGGUUGUUUCAGAAGAAAUUAAGAUUUUGCAAAUUAUGACACUGGGUCCUAAUCCAUAGGUUUUAUAAUUACUGUUAUAAAUCUUUUCAUUUAUUCCAUGUGUACUUUUUGUAACAUUUUAAAAUGGAUGUUUUCAUGAAUGCAAGCUUUGACUUAAUUUUGUUAAACUGUUUGUGAAAUGGUUCGAAUUUUUGUGAUAUAAAGUGGAUCAGACAAAAUUUACUUUAGAGUAAAAGGAAUUUUUUUGAAAGCUGUCUUUCAUCAGUUUCCUGUAAUGAUUGGAAAUAUAGUGGUGAUUUAAACCUUUAACAAAAUAUAAUAGUUAUUAAUGGCAUCCUAAUGUUUUCAUUUAUGUCUUAACAUUUACCCAAGUUUGCAUUUAUCUUAGCAGAAUGUAAAAAAAAAAAAAAAAAAAAGAAAAGCUGAUGUUAUGUGCUGGUUUUGUUUGGACAUUUCUUUAAGACAAAUGAAGAAAAUUCACUGAGAAACUCUUCUUUUGUGAAAAACAAGGAAAUAUGUGCACACUGAAUAGUUUUAAGUCCCGUAGGAGGUAUUGUUUAUUUGUGACAUUGUGACAUAUGAGAAGGUUCUGUGGGUAUUGCUCGGUGUUGAGACUUAUAUAGUGAGGCUAAAAAAGCCAACACAUAAUUGGCUGAUUAUCUUUCUGUUUGCCUCACUAUAAAAACGUCACAGUACCUUUGCCUGAGGAAGACCCUCUCAGAGUUGGCAACACAGCGAACAAGUGAUACCUCCUUGGGGGCUUCAAAACUAUUGUGUCCAGCUAAUUCUUUGUUUUUCACUUUGAGCCCUUUUAUCCAGUCACAUUCUUCUGUGUUAAAACUGGACUUCUAACAGAGCAGCAAAUAAAGGUCACUCUCCAAAAUCU